CGGUGGAGCAUGUGGUUUAAUUCGAAGCAACGCGAAGAACCUUACCAACUUUUGACAUGUCCCGUAUGGUUUCAGAGAUGGCUCUAGGCGGGAACAGGUGUGACGAGCGCAACCCUCGGCCUUAGUUGCCAUCGGGAUGUCAAGUCUCAUGGCCCUUACAGGUUGGCUACAUACAUGGCGGUGACAAGGGACGCAAAAGGGCAACCUUUCGCAUCUCAAAAAACCGUCUCAGUUCGGAUUGGGGUGCAACCCGACCCCAUGAAGUUGGAAUCGCUAGUAAUCGGGAUCAGCACGCCACGGUGAAUACGUUCCCGGGCCUUGUACACACCGCCGUCACACCAUGGGAGUUGGUUUUACCUGAAGACGGUGCGCUAACCGCAAGGGAGCAGCCGGCCACGUAGGGUCAGCGACUGGGGUGAAGUCGUACAAGGU
This 432-nucleotide ribosomal RNA is filed under the name uncultured Alphaproteobacteria bacterium. RNAcentral describes it as "bacterial SSU rRNA". It matches the Rfam family "Bacterial small subunit ribosomal RNA", at positions 930 to 1497 of the family's 1533-position model. Lineage: Bacteria; Pseudomonadati; Pseudomonadota; Alphaproteobacteria. The record is from RNAcentral.